CUGCUGACUACUCCCCGGACCAGCAGGCAGUUGGUUGUAAUUGUAACCACUUUGAUAGGUUGGAGGGUGGUGGGAUGUAGGUCCAUUAUGAUGAUAGGGAGGCACAUCACUGUGGCCUUGCCACGAUGCUGAUGCCGAUGAUGGAUAGUAAGCUUCAGGAUUCUCAUUAUAAUGUUGGGAACUCACUUGAUUGUGUGCUCUAUUAUUGUAGUGUUGGGAAUGAUGUCGCAUGUCGCGGUGGUGGUGCCCUGCAGGUGGCUGAUGGUAACCGUGAUCUUGGUGGCCGCGUGCUGUGUUGUGAUGACCUUGGGAGUAAUUCGGUCUGCCACCUGGUGGCAUCCUGUAGUCUACUGCUUGAUCUCUUGAUCUAUAAUCUC
RNAcentral lists this long non-coding RNA (377 nucleotides) under Cucumis sativus (cucumber). RNAcentral describes it as "long non-coding RNA (CSAT_LNC002005)". Lineage: Eukaryota; Viridiplantae; Streptophyta; Magnoliopsida; Cucurbitales; Cucurbitaceae. The record is from RNAcentral.